AAUGAGGGAGACACUUUCCUGUUUAAAUCUGUGCCUCCCUCUGCCCAGGCUGCACCCGGAGACACAAUCCACAGCCCCUGGGUCUGUGCAGUGACCAGCCAGUCCCCUGGGAACUUUCCCCUCCAGCACAAGGGAAAAUGGGAUUUUUGCUCCUUGUGAUUUUCGCUGUAGCAGCUUUGGAAGGUGUCCGGUCCCAGGUGCAGCUGGUGGAGUCCGGAGGGGAUGUGAAAAAGCCCGGAGACUCUCUCCGCCUCUCCUGCAAAGCCUCCGGGUUCACCUUCAGCAGCUACGCUAUGAGCUGGGUCCGGCAGGCUCCCGGGAAGGGACUGGAAUGGGUCGCUGCUAUAAACUACGAUGGGAGUAGUACAUAUUACCCUGAUUCAGUCAAAGGCCGAUUCACCAUCUCCAGGGAUAAUCCCAAGAGUGAGCUGUAUCUGCAAAUGACCGGCCUGAAGCCCCAGGACACCGCCCGCUAUUACUGCGCGAAAGACACAGUGAGGGGAAGCCGGGCUGAGCUCAGACAAAAACCUCUCCCUGCAGUCCAGCUAGUGGAGUCCGAAGGGGAUGUGAAAAAGCCAGGAGACGCUCUUCGCCUCUCCUGCAAAGCCUCCGGGUUCACCAUGAGCAGUUAUCCUAUGUAUUGGAUUCGCCAGGCUGCAAGGAAGGGACAGGAGUGGCUGGCCAGAGCGGCUGUCCAGGGUAGCACCUACUACUCUAAUUCCGUGAAAGGGCCUUUCAUCAUCUCCAGAGACACCGCCAACAAUCGGUGCUUUUGCAAAUGA
This is a non-coding RNA of Gopherus evgoodei (Goodes thornscrub tortoise), 782 nucleotides long. The record is from the annotation of a RefSeq genome assembly. Lineage: Eukaryota; Metazoa; Chordata; Testudines; Testudinidae.